This 109-nucleotide microRNA precursor is filed under the name Zea mays. RNAcentral's name for it is "MIR5565 microRNA precursor family". It matches the Rfam family "MIR5565 microRNA precursor family". Lineage: Eukaryota; Viridiplantae; Streptophyta; Magnoliopsida; Poales; Poaceae. The record is from Rfam by way of RNAcentral.
GCUCUAGUAUUCAUCCCAAUACAUAUGGGUUGAGGGGGAUUGGGGUGUAAAUUAAACUAAUUUACACCUCAACCCCUUUUAAUCCAUGUGUAUUCGGAUGAAUACUAGA